UACAGAGGGUGCAAACGUUGCUCGGAAUUACUGGGCGUAAAGCGCGUGUAGGCGGUCGGCUAAGUCGAGGGUGAAAGCCCAUGGCUCAACCAUGGAAGUGCAGUUGAUACUGGCUGGCUAGAGUCCGGAAGAGGUGGGUGGAAUUCCUAGUGUAGAGGUGAAAUUCGUAGAUAUUAGGAAGAACACCGGUGGCGAAGGCGGCCCACUGGACAGGAACUGACGCUGAGGUGCGAAAGCGUGGGGAGCAAACAGG
Molecule: ribosomal RNA, 253 nt
Filed under: uncultured bacterium
Lineage: Bacteria
Description: partial 16S ribosomal RNA
Rfam family: Bacterial small subunit ribosomal RNA
Source: RNAcentral